GACGUCCUUCUGUGCUUUAGAGGUGCUGCUGCCGUUCUAUGAGUGCAGGAGCCUUGGAGCUGGCGGCAGAAGAGCCUGUACAUAACCUGGAGGAAGGACCAUUAUCAUUCCUUAUGAAAAGGAAGAUAGCUCAGAGGCUUGCUAUUCAGAAAGCUUUGUCAGAUGCAUUACAGAAACUAUUGAUUGUGGUUUUAGCAGGUCCAGGCUGAGUUCAAACCCACCAACACCGGUACAGGGGGCCAGCACUCUAACCAUUGAGCUAUAGGUACCCAGCCAAUUUUAAAUAAUUUUUAAAAAUAGAGACAAGAUCUCACUAUGCUGCCCAGGGUAGUCUCAAACUCCUGGCCUCAACCAAUAUUCUUGCCUCAGCCUCCCAAAGUACUGGGAUUUUGAAAAGUUAAGUGGAUGAAAAUAUGGAUAUCUAAAACACUCCAUCUUAUGUUCUUAUUCACUAAAUUCUUCUACGGAAAUGGUCUCAGAUUUGUUCUCUGUGACAUCUGUGAGAAAAAUGACAGCAAAUAUUAUUGUACGCAUUUUGUAGGUGUAGAAUGACUUGCCUCAGUUCACAUAGAAAGUCUUUGAUCCAGGUAUUCUUUCUCAAUUGUUUGCCUAGCAUGCAGAAUACUGAUUAUGAGAUUUUUUUUUUUUUUUUUUUUGAGAUAGAGUCUCAAGCUGUUGCCCUGGGUAGAGUGCCGUGGUGUCGUAACUCAUAGCAACCUCCAACUCUUGGGCUUAAGUGGACCUCUUGCCUCAGUUCUUCUAUUUUUAGUGGAGACAGCCUCAUUUUUGCUCAGGCUGUUCAUGAACUCGUGAACUCAAGCAAUCCACCUGCCUUGGCCUCCCAGGGUGCUAGGAUUACAGGCAUGAGCCACCAAGCCCAGCCUGACUAUAAGCUUUGAACACCUGGGUUCAAGUUCUAACUCAAUCUCUUCAAGAUUUUUUAUGUAAUUUAGGUUUUAUAACCAGAGAGAUUUGAAGAUGGUUAAUAUUUCUAAGCUACAGUCAUUUUCUCUGCAAAAUGAAGUUAGUAAUUCAACCUACCAUAUGGGAGAUAAUUGUAUGAGUAAGUGAGGUGACAAAUGCAAAAACUCAGAACUAUGCUUACGUAGUAAACAGACAAAAUAUGUUAACUAUUAUCAGUGUUGUUUUCUACCUGAAUAAAUAGAUAAAUGAAUUCUGUUGAAGAGAAAGUUUAUUAGAUUAUGUUUUUUGAAUCAAGAAUUCAGUUUCAGCUUUCAUUUCCGGCAUUGAUAUUGGGUGAAUGUGAUUCCUAUGUAGUACACAUAAUUGGCUGCUUUCCUGUGAGCUGUGAAAGUGGUUGUGCUAUUGAAUGGCACUGAUUGUGUCCCUGUUGAGUUCUACAGCAUUGUGACUGUUACAGGAAACUUGAUGAACAGGAAGUGCCUGAACA
Long non-coding RNA from Nycticebus coucang (slow loris), 1411 nucleotides. RefSeq lists it as uncharacterized. The record is from RefSeq and is a predicted model, not a curated record. The transcript has 3 exons. NCBI's taxonomy places the organism in Eukaryota, Metazoa, Chordata, Mammalia, Primates, Lorisidae.